Molecule: ribosomal RNA, 494 nt
Filed under: uncultured bacterium
Lineage: Bacteria
Description: partial 16S ribosomal RNA
Rfam family: Bacterial small subunit ribosomal RNA
Source: RNAcentral
GAUGAACGCUAGCGGCAGGCUUAACACAUGCAAGUCGAGGGGUAUAGUUCUUCGGAACUAGAGACCGGCGCACGGGUGCGUAACGCGUAUGCAAUCUACCUUUUACAGGGGAAUAGCCCAGAGAAAUUUGGAUUAAUGCCCCAUAGUAUAGUUUAUUCGCAUGAGUAGAUUAUUAAAGUUCCAACGGUAAAAGAUGAGCAUGCGUCCCAUUAGCUAGAUGGUAAGGUAACGGCUUACCAUGGCGACGAUGGGCAGGGGUCCUGAGAGGGAGCUCCCCCACACUGGUACUGAGACACGGACCAGACUCCUACGGGAGGCAGCAGUGAGGAAUAUUGGUCAAUGGACGCAAGUCUGAACCAGCCAUGCCGCGUGCAGGAUGACGGUCCUAUGGAUUGUAAACUGCUUUUGUACGAGAAGAAACACUGCUACGUGUAGCAGCUUGACGGUAUCGUAAGAAUAAGGAUCGGCUAACUCCGUGCCAGCAGCCGCAGUAA